UACGAGCGCACCCUUGUCCUUAUUUGCCAGCACAUUAUGGUGGGAACUCUAAGGAGACUGCCGGUGACAAACCGGAGGAAGGUGGGGACGACGUCAAGUCAUCAUGGCCCUUACGGCCUGGGCUACACACGUGCUACAAUGGGGCGUACAGAGGGCUGCCAAGCCGCGAGGUGGAGCUAAUCCCUUAAAACGUCUCGUAGUCCGGAUUGAAGUCUGCAACUCGACUUCAUGAAGUCGGAAUCGCUAGUAAUCGCGAAUCAGAAUGUCGCGGUGAAUACGUUCCCGGGCCUUGUACACACCGCCCGUCACACCAUGGGAGUGGGUUGCAAAAGAAGUGGGUAGACUAACCUUCGGGAGGUCGCUCACCACUUUGUGAUUCAUGACUGGGGUGAAGUCGUAACAAGGUAGCCGUAGGGGAACCUGCGGCUGGAUCA
Molecule: ribosomal RNA, 434 nt
Filed under: uncultured Gammaproteobacteria bacterium
Lineage: Bacteria; Pseudomonadati; Pseudomonadota; Gammaproteobacteria
Description: bacterial SSU rRNA
Rfam family: Bacterial small subunit ribosomal RNA
Source: RNAcentral